UACGUAGGGUGCGAGCGUUGUCCGGAAUUAUUGGGCGUAAAGGGCUCGUAGGCGGUUUGUCGCGUCGGGGAGUGAAAACUCAGGGCUUAACCCUGAGCCUGCUUCCGAUACGGGCAGACUAGAGGUAUGCAGGGGAGAACGGAAUUCCUGGUGUAGCGGUGAAAUGCGCAGAAUAUCAGGAGGAACACCGGUGGCGAAGGCGGCGAUCUGGGUCGAUACUGACGUGAGGUGCGAAAGCGUGGGGAGCAAACAGG
RNAcentral lists this ribosomal RNA (254 nucleotides) under uncultured bacterium. RNAcentral's name for it is "partial 16S ribosomal RNA". It matches the Rfam family "Bacterial small subunit ribosomal RNA", at positions 524 to 776 of the family's 1533-position model. The record is from RNAcentral.